Molecule: unclassified non-coding RNA, 627 nt
Filed under: Hevea brasiliensis (rubber tree)
Lineage: Eukaryota; Viridiplantae; Streptophyta; Magnoliopsida; Malpighiales; Euphorbiaceae
Source: RNAcentral
GGCAAGAAACGUUCUAUCGGAUGCUAAACUAAGAUAAUGUUGCAUCAUCACAGAUAGAAGCAAUACAUUAAGAUGUAAGCACACAACAACACCAACUCUGCAUCUUAAAUCCUCUACUUCUUCAUUUGGCACCAACGCUCAUUUCCAACUAUUUUGCUAAGAACAGGAGGCCGAAAGGAGAUUCACAUAUCAAGCCCAAGAGUUGUCGAAAGCAGCCGAAGAAAUCGCCUGAGUGAAUUCCUGAUAGCUGAUCCUGCCAUCUCCAUCAGUAUCAGCUUCUCUGAUCAUCCCAGUAAGUUCUUCAGCAGUCAAAGCAUGUCCAAGCUUCGCCAUAGAAUGAGCCAAUUCUGCAGCCGUAAUAUAACCAUUUCCAUCCCUAUCAAACAUCUUAAAUAGCUGUUUCAAUUGUUCCUCUGUGUAAGGGGACUUCGCUGGAAGAAGUUCCGGUGCUACGAGUGAUACAAACUCCGAGAAUUCAACAAGGCCAUUGUCGUUUUUAUCCGCCUUUUGAAUCAAAGUUUCGAGCUGAUCAGGACUUGGUUUUAAACCAAGAGACCUCAAUAGCGCGCCAAGCUCGAGUUGGGUUAGACUCCCAUCAUCAUUUCUGUCGAACGAUCGGAAAAUUUC